RNAcentral lists this long non-coding RNA (1213 nucleotides) under Homo sapiens (human). RNAcentral describes it as "HSALNT0272062". Lineage: Eukaryota; Metazoa; Chordata; Mammalia; Primates; Hominidae. The record is from RNAcentral.
AUCUUGAUCCCACAAUGCUUGAGCUCAUUAUACCUGGUGUGUUCAGCAGUUUCUUGAACCUGGAAAAUGUAUUUAAGGUGCUUAAUCAAACAUUCAGUAAAGGAGUCUCAGCUGAGGACAGAGAAGUCUGUAGUUCACUUAUAUAAGGACCUUUCUAGACCACAAAAAAAGAAGACCCUUCAGGUACAAAGGAAUUCAACCAAGUAAGGCUAAAGCCAAUGAUCCCCCAAUACUGACGGCUUUGGUAGUGUCAGUUGACUGUGACAAAAGAAAGAAGGUAACAGUGAGCAUCUGAAAAAGUGAAUCUCCUGUGGUUACCGACUAGCAAUAAAUUAAGAAGACAGGGUCUCACUAUGCUGCCCAGGCUGGUCUCUUACUCCUGGCCUCAAGUGAUCCACCUGCCUCGGCCUCCCAAAGUGCUGAGAGUACAGAUGUGAACCACUGCACCUGGUCUGAAAUCUGCAUUUUUAACCAGCAGACCAGUUCAUUCUGACAUGCUCGAGUUUGAGAACCACUGACCAGGCGAUCCUCUAUACCAAGCCCACCCACAGUGUUUGCUGGCAGCAUGGCUGACUCUUUCAGAAGCUAAUUCAUCUGACAGGUCCUGACCCCCAAGUCUGGGCCCAGCACUGUGCCAGGAGGCCCUUCCAGCUACACCACAUCACAUGAGGUCACAUCACAUCAAAACCCAUGUGUCUCGUUCAUAUUCCAUGGCGACUGUUGGCUCACCACAGUCCUACUCAGAGUUCUGAGUCAGCCUCAGAAACACUGGGAGCUCUGGGCCACCUCAUAUCGAACAUGAGUCAGAGCUGUGAUCUCUGCUUCCCAUUCCUGGGCUACGCUGCUGAUGUGGUACUGGAUUCCUUCCUAGUCAAUCAACACAGACCUUCAUUUCUACAGAGUUCUCUCACCCCCAAGUAAAUAGACUAAUUUCUUUCUGGUUGAUUUAGGUAUUAAAAUUAAAGAUGUAAAAAUAUUUAUUUACUUGGGUAAUGAUGAAUGAGUGCCUUGCAGGAGUAAUGAUUAAUCAUGCUCCACCUGGAAACCAGUGCCAAAACGACUCUGCUAAUAGAAUCCAUCAACUGCUGAAAUAAGUGAUUGCACUGAAGCUUGCUUUAUUGUGGAGCUGCAGCCCAGCUGGAGACACAAACGUUCCCAUUUGUAGCUGAGAAGUCCCUGUUUGGUGGAUCAUGGGCUCCUUCCACUGGUUUUG